CAAAAUGGCCGCCGGCCCGCGGCCCCCGUCUCGCCCCUCCCACCGCCGGCGCUGUGGGUGCGCGGCCCCGAGCGUGGCGGCGGCGCGCAGCGGCGGGAUUGGUAGGGAUGGUAGCGGCUGCGUGCGGGAUGGCUUCCGCGCCGCCUGAGGGCGGAGAGGGCUGGAGCCUGGCAACAGCCUCACAGAAUAUCCUGAGUUUGAAGGGACUCAUAAGGGUCAUCGAGUCCAGAUCCUCGCCUUGCACAAGGUACCCCAACUACACGGUAGGAACCAUGUGAGAGCAUUACCUGAGGGCUUCUUAAACUCAGGUAGGCUUGGUGCUGUGACCACGUCCCUGAGCAGCCUGCUCCAGUGCCCGGCCACCCUCUGGGAGAAAAACCUUUUCCUGAAAUCCAACCUAAAUCUCGCCUCUCUCAGCUUCAUGCCAUUCCUUCAGAUCCUUUUGCUGGUUGCAAGAGUGAAGAGAUCGGCAUCUGCCCCUGCUCUUCGCCUCAUGAGGAUCUCGAAGAACACAGUGAGGUGACCCCUCAGUCUCCUCCAGGCCUAACAAACCAAGUCACCUCUGCUGCUGCUCUUAAGGCUUCACCUUAAGACCUUCCACCAUCCUCGUGGAAGGUGGAUCCUCAUGGGAUAGUUUGGCUUGGAAGGGAACUUAAAGCUACUUUAUUUCCAGUUUCCUGUCAUGGGCAGAUACACCUUCCUCUAGAUCAGGGGCUCCCCCCAGAGCUCAAAGCUCCAUCCAACUACACUAUUAUACACAGAACUUCAGAGUUAAUAAUUUUUCCAGCAAAGCGCCUCCAUUAUGAUUAAUUAAGUAUUUUUCAUACAAGGUGCAUGUGGAAGGACAUCUCAGCUACUCCUCUUCUGCAAGUCAGCAGGUGGUGUGAUCAGAAGGUCUUUCCUUCCUUUUUUUCCAAAGCAAAUAGAGAAGUCCAUAACCCAGAACACACAUCACUAAGAUGAAGUCUUUGCUUUCCACUACUACCAUGCUGGCAUGUAUCAUGAGUGCAAAAUUUAAGUAUAAUUAAUUUAACAAAUUCCUCUGUACCGUAAAGGUGAUCAUUUAUUCAUCUUUUCUGUCUUAAUUCUCCAUUUUCUAGUUGCAUUUACAUUUCCAGCAGUCCUGGCAGCUGCUGUUUUUUUUUUCCUGCCUCAUAAUUUUUUAUUACUUCUGUUUGUUUGUUAUUUUGGUCCCAUCCCUGAUUUUUUUUUUAUUUUUUUAACAUAAAAUCUCUGCUUUCCAUAACAGGAAUAAGCAAACAUAUUUUUCUCCUUGGGUGCGAAGAAAAAAUAAAGCAUAAACCUGCAAAAAAUUAAAAGACAAAUCUCACUGUGUUAAAGCUAAGCAAUGUCACAUCAUAUCAGCUGAAUAUGAAGAACUGGACUUGUUUAAACUUUUAAUUUCCAUUGAAAUAACAACAAAGCUCUGGACUUACAUUUUGUUAUAUUAUAAGCCUCUGA
Long non-coding RNA from Oenanthe melanoleuca, 1461 nucleotides. RefSeq lists it as uncharacterized. The transcript is spliced from 3 exons. The record is from RefSeq and is a predicted model, not a curated record. NCBI's taxonomy places the organism in Eukaryota, Metazoa, Chordata, Aves, Passeriformes, Muscicapidae.